Hipposideros armiger (great roundleaf bat) is the source of this 784-nucleotide long non-coding RNA. RefSeq lists it as uncharacterized. NCBI's taxonomy places the organism in Eukaryota, Metazoa, Chordata, Mammalia, Chiroptera, Hipposideridae. The record is from RefSeq and is a predicted model, not a curated record. The transcript has 3 exons.
GGAUUCGGGUUCUCACUUUCCUGGUUGGUUUUCUGAGUAUGGUUGGGUAGGUCAGAAGGGGCAGUUUCUCCUAAACCUUUCAUUCCCAAAGUCCACUGCUCCCCAGAAGUAAGGCCAGGUUUCUGUACGUGUGUUGAGGUCGCCAGGAGGUAGUCAUGGGGAAGAGGAGGGAGGCCUGGGAAGGAAACGUUUCUCCUAUCCUCCAUUUCACAGGCAGUCUAGAAGCCUCCAAACUGGGUCAGAGAACAAAAGUUGCUACACUUGGGGCGAUGAGCCCCAGGGAGCAGGCGAAUCUCAAUCCUCCCCUCGCCAAGGGCGUCCCAACCCAGCCUUCCCCUCCCUCCCUACACACCCACUCACCCUCCCCUAGUUACAACAGGGAAUCGUAAAGUCCAGAGGAGAAGAGAACCGGGGUAGUUCGAAACUCGAAUUCUCCUCCCCCCAGCGCGGGGAUAGGGCUCCGGAGGUCGGAGAUCGCACAGGGGCAGGGAGGGUAUGCUUGAGGUACCCAAAAGUUGGAUCUAUCCUGGGGCUAACCAAAUGGAUAUGAAGACUGUCAAGAAGGAGCCUGAGGGAGGAAGGUGGAUUGACCAUGGUCUUGGAGAAAAGUUAGUAGGUUCUCCACCCCUUCUGGAGGGAGAAGGAAUAGCACAGAACACGAGGGAGGCAAUUUUCCAAUUAGAGAAAAUGAAAGUAAGUACUCUAUUAUGCUAAAAGAAAAAUGAAAGUGAAAAGAGAGGGACAAGAUAAAAGCAAAGGGCUUAGGAAUAGGGUAGGAGGGGGG